Molecule: ribosomal RNA, 279 nt
Filed under: uncultured bacterium
Lineage: Bacteria
Description: partial 16S ribosomal RNA
Rfam family: Bacterial small subunit ribosomal RNA
Source: RNAcentral
UGCCAGCCGCCGCGGUAAUACGAAGGGGGCUAGCGUUGUUCGGAAUUACUGGGCGUAAAGCGCGUGUAGGCGGUUCGUUAAGUCUGAUGUGAAAGCCCGGGGCUCAACCCCGGAAGUGCAUUGGAAACUGGCGAACUUGAGUACGGGAGAGGAAAGUGGAAUUCCGAGUGUAGGGGUGAAAUACGUAGAUAUCUGGAAGAACACCAGAGGCGAAGGCGGUCUCUUGGUCCGAAACUGACGCUGAGGCGCGAAAGCGUGGGGAGCAAACAGGAUUAGAUA